RNAcentral lists this ribosomal RNA (662 nucleotides) under Leptodactylodon axillaris. Its description in RNAcentral is "partial 16S ribosomal RNA". It matches the Rfam family "Bacterial large subunit ribosomal RNA", at positions 1513 to 2491 of the family's 2925-position model. The record is from RNAcentral. Lineage: Eukaryota; Metazoa; Chordata; Amphibia; Anura; Arthroleptidae.
AGAACUAGUAACAAGAAAUUGACUUUCUCCCAAUGUAAGUGUAAAUCAGAAAGAACAUAUCACUGAUCAUUACUGCCAUGAUACAAGGGUAACAACUCCACUAGAAAACACUACCCACAAAGGCACUAACCUCACACAAGAACAUUACACGAAAGAUUAAAACACGGGGAAGGAACUCGGCAAACCUUAGUCUCGCCUGUUUACCAAAAACACCGCCUCUUGACCAAAAAUAAGAGGUCCCGCCUGCCCAGUGACCAAAUUCAACGGCCGCGGUACCCUAACCGUGCAAAGGUAGCACAAUCACUUGUUCCAUAAAUAGGGACUAGUAUGAACGGCAUCACGAAGACUAUACUGUCUCCCCCAUCCAAUCAGUGAAACUGAUCUUCCCGUGAAGAAGCGGGAAUCAAAAUAUAAGACGAGAAGACCCCAUGGAGCUUCAAACUAAGUACCACCCACCACCCAAAUAAACCACCACAACCCGCUGGAACUGGUUACUUGUUUUUGGUUGGGGUGACCACGGAGCAAAACACAACCUCCGCAAUGAAUGGGGCUAACCCCCUAACUUAAGACCCACAACUCAAUAAAUCAGAAUACUAACAUAAUUGACCCAAGCACAUUGAACAAUGAACCUAGUUACCCUGGGGAUAACAGCGCAAUCCAUU